GAGCAAAAAGGAUUUAAAGGUCCUCUCUUCCUAUUCGAUAGGAAACUCUUAUGACUUAUAGGGGUGCCAUGUGAUUUAAUUCCAUGAAGAAGAACGUGAAAAGAAGAGCUUACUUUUCUACAAAAUCCUAGAUAUUGAAACCUUAGGAUUUGUUGUAUGUGAUACAAAGCUUGAGUUGUAUAAAAAAUAAAAUAUCUAAUC
RNAcentral lists this long non-coding RNA (201 nucleotides) under Elaeis guineensis (African oil palm). RNAcentral's name for it is "long non-coding RNA (EGUI_LNC071818)". Lineage: Eukaryota; Viridiplantae; Streptophyta; Magnoliopsida; Arecales; Arecaceae. The record is from RNAcentral.